AACCAUUCUCACCUGCGGCUAGACCUGCGGAAGGAUCAUUACAGAGUUGCAAGACUCCCUAAACCAUUGUGAACCUACCUUCUACCGUUGCUUCGGCGGGCGGGCCCAGCGCCCCCCCGGCCCCCCGCGGGCGCCCGCCGGAGGAUACCCAAACUCUUGACAUUAGUGGCCUCUCUGAGUAUUCUUUACUGAAUAAGUCAAAACUUUUAACAAUGGAUCU
RNAcentral lists this unclassified non-coding RNA (220 nucleotides) under soil metagenome. Its description in RNAcentral is "partial contains 5.8S ribosomal RNA, internal transcribed spacer 2, and large subunit ribosomal RNA". The record is from RNAcentral.